This 481-nucleotide ribosomal RNA is filed under the name uncultured bacterium. RNAcentral describes it as "partial 16S ribosomal RNA". It matches the Rfam family "Bacterial small subunit ribosomal RNA", at positions 28 to 523 of the family's 1533-position model. The record is from RNAcentral.
GACGAACGCUGGCGGCGUGCUUAACACAUGCAAGUCGAGCGAUGAAGUUUCUUCGGAAAUGGAUUAGCGGCGAACGGGUGAGGAACACGUGAAGAAUCUGCCCUCCACUUUGGGAUAACACCGGGAAACCGGUGCUAAUACCGAAUAUUGAAACAUAAGUGGCAUCACUGAGUUUUGAAAGAAUUUCGAUGGAGGAUGACUUCGCGGCCUAUCAGCUAGUUGGUGAGGUAAUGGCUCACCAAGGCAACGACGGGUAGCCGGCCUGAGAGGGCGACCGGCCACACUGGGACUGAGACACGGCCCAGACUCCUACGGGAGGCAGCAGUGGGGAAUAUUGGGCAAUGGAGGAAACUCUGACCCAGCGACGCCGCGUGCGGGAUGAAGGCCUUCGGGCUGUAAACCGCUUUCAGUAGGGAAGAAGCGAAAGUGACGGUACCUACAAAAGAAGCACCGGCUAACUAUGUGCCAGCAGCCGCCGUAA